CCUACGGGAGGCAGCAGUGGGGAAUAUUGGGCAAUGGGCGCAAGCCUGACCCAGCAACGCCGCGUGAAGGAAGACGGCCCUCGGGUUGUAAACUUCUUUUGUCAGGGACGAAACAAAUGACGGUACCUGAAGAAUAAGCCACGGCUAACUACGUGCAAGCAGCCGCGGUAAUACGUCGGUGGCAAGCGUUAUCCGGAUUUAAUGGGUUUAAAGGGUGUGUAGGGGGGAGAGCAAGUCAGUUGUGAAAUUCCAGGGCUCAACCCUUGAACUGGAUUUGAAACUGUUUUUCUUGAGUACUGGAGAGGCAGGCGGAAUUCCGGGUGUAGCGGUGAAAUGCGUAGAUAUACGGAGGAACACCAGUGGCGAAGGCGGCCUGCUGGACAUUAACUGACGCUGAGGCGCGAAAGUGUGGGGAGCAAACAGGAUUAGAUACCCUAGUAGUC
Molecule: ribosomal RNA, 443 nt
Filed under: uncultured bacterium
Lineage: Bacteria
Description: partial 16S ribosomal RNA
Rfam family: Bacterial small subunit ribosomal RNA
Source: RNAcentral